Molecule: long non-coding RNA, 616 nt
Filed under: Salmo salar (Atlantic salmon)
Lineage: Eukaryota; Metazoa; Chordata; Actinopteri; Salmoniformes; Salmonidae
Description: lncRNA (ENSSSAG00000086345.1, ENSSSAG00000106372.1)
Source: RNAcentral
AUUUUACUCAACUGCGUCACCCACUCCAGUCAACAGAUGGCGGUCUGGGAAUUUAAGGCGAUGCUGUUGGUGUGACGUAUAAUCUAGUAGACGGAACGCUUCUCUCAACAGCAGGAACACUUAAUCAGCCACCUCGAAGAGGUCAGCUGGAUGGAGAAAGAAGCUGUCGUGGAAGAGGAGACUGUUUCGAUACAAAAACAAGUGGAGGGUGAGGCUGUUACUGUGAAAGAAGAAGAGAAAGACGUUUCAGUGAAAGAAGAGGAGAGAGACGGGACUAUCUUGGAUCCUCUGGGGAGCCUCAACAACAUCAUGAAGCUGAUGAGGCAGAGAAGAGUCUCUUCAGAUCAGAACACCUCAAGAAACACCAGCAGAGACCCACAGGGAAGAAAUCUUUCUGCAAAUCUUCAUCGGAACCUAAAAUACACCAGCGAGUACACACAGGAGAGAAAGCUCACCACUGUUGUGGGAAGAGUUACUCAAGACCAGAUGCACUGAAAGUACACCUGAGAGAAACAUUUUGGCUGUGAUCAAUGUGGGUUGUUGAUUGACAAAGUCUUGAAAAAUGUAAUAGAAUUGAAUAAGCCACAUUUUGGCUAUGAUAAAAGAUAUGUCUCUG